CUUUUGAUAUUCACAAAUGAUAGGUAGGUACAUUGUUUAUGCUUCUGAUGAUAUCAAACCAGAGGGUAAGAAAAGCAAACAUGGAUAGCUUAAGAAGAAGUAUCAUUUGGUAGAGUCAGAUGUUGAUGGUGAUGGCAAUAGUAUUAUUCAAACAGUUUUGGAACCUAACAAUAUUCUUUAAGAUAGCCAGACGCAUAGGGAAGAGGCUCUGUCGGACAAAAAGAAAGAUGUCGGGGAUGUUAAAAAUUC
Non-coding RNA from Arachis ipaensis, 249 nucleotides. NCBI's taxonomy places the organism in Eukaryota, Viridiplantae, Streptophyta, Magnoliopsida, Fabales, Fabaceae. The record is from RefSeq and is a predicted model, not a curated record.